AGCUCUGUUGUUAGGGAAGAACAAGUGCUAGUUAAAUAAGCUGGCACCUUGACGGUACCUAACCAGAAAGCCACGGCUAACUACGUGCCAGCGGCCGCGGUAAUACGUAGGUGGCAAGCGUUGUCCGGAAUUAUUGGGCGUAAAGCGCGCGCAGGCGGUUUCUUAAGUCUGAUGUGAAAGCCCCCGGCUCAACCGGGGAGGGUCAUUGGAAACUGGGAAACUUGAGUGCAGAAGAGGAAAGUGGAAUUCCAAGUGUAGCGGUGAAAUGCGUAGAGAUUUGGAGGAACACCAGUGGCGAAGGCGACUAUCUGGUCUGUAACUGACACUGAGGCGCGAAAGCGUGGGGAGCGAACGGGAUUAGAUACCCCGGUAGUCCACGCUGUAAACGGUGGAUACUAGGUGUUGGUGACUAUCGUCAUCAGUGCCGUAGCUAACGCGUUAAGUAUCCCGCCUGGGGACUACGGCCGCAAGGCUAAAACUUAAAGGAAUUGACGG
This 495-nucleotide ribosomal RNA is filed under the name uncultured bacterium. RNAcentral describes it as "bacterial SSU rRNA". It matches the Rfam family "Bacterial small subunit ribosomal RNA", at positions 429 to 916 of the family's 1533-position model. The record is from RNAcentral.